AUUGAACGCUGGCGGCAUGCCUUACACAUGCAAGUCGAACGGCAGCACGGAGCUUGCUCUGGUGGCGAGUGGCGAACGGGUGAGUAAUAUAUCGGAACGUACCCUAGAGUGGGGGAUAACGUAGCGAAAGUUACGCUAAUACCGCAUACGAUCUAAGGAUGAAAGUGGGGGAUCGCAAGACCUCAUGCUCGUGGAGCGGCCGAUAUCUGAUUAGCUAGUUGGUAGGGUAAAAGCCUACCAAGGCAUCGAUCAGUAGCUGGUCUGAGAGGACGACCAGCCACACUGGAACUGAGACACGGUCCAGACUCCUACGGGAGGCAGCAGUGGGGAAUUUUGGACAAUGGGCGAAAGCCUGAUCCAGCAAUGCCGCGUGAGUGAAGAAGGCCUUCGGGUUGUAAAGCUCUUUUGUCAGGGAAGAAACGGUGAAGGCUAAUAUCCUUUGCUAAUGACGGUACCUGAAGAACAAGCACCGGCUAACUACGUGCCAGCAGCCGCGGUAAUACGUAGGGUGCAAGCGUUAAU
Molecule: ribosomal RNA, 522 nt
Filed under: uncultured bacterium
Lineage: Bacteria
Description: bacterial SSU rRNA
Rfam family: Bacterial small subunit ribosomal RNA
Source: RNAcentral